CGGUUAAUCCUGGGUUAAUCAGCUGUCUCUGCUUCCUUCGUCGAUGUGGUUAUCUCUUGAUGUCCAAACUUACGAUGAUUCCUUGAAUUCAAUGUUUAUGAUAUCUUGAUCUUGAAUAAAGGUAUGAUGACCAUAACAAGUUGUAUCUUCGGUGAAAAUUUUAAUGUUUUUCUGUUAUAUAAAGCUCUUUACCUUGACAUACCUGAUUGAAAUAAAGUAAAUAGAAACUAUGGAAUUUUGAAUCUCAGAAAUUAUAAUUCCUCACAGAAAAAACUG
Coccinella septempunctata (seven-spotted ladybird) is the source of this 276-nucleotide long non-coding RNA. RefSeq lists it as uncharacterized. The record is from RefSeq and is a predicted model, not a curated record. NCBI's taxonomy places the organism in Eukaryota, Metazoa, Arthropoda, Insecta, Coleoptera, Coccinellidae. The transcript has 2 exons.